AUGCACGCUGGCGGCGUGCCUAAUCCCUGCAAGUCGAGCGAACAGACGAGGAGCUUGCUCCUCUGACGUUAGCGGCGGACGGGUGAGUAACACGUGGAUAACCUACCUAUAAGACUGGGAUAACUUCGGGAAACCGGAGCUAAUACCGGAUAAUAUAUUUAACCGCAUGGUUCAAUAGUGAAAGACGGUUUUGCUGUCACUUAUAGAUGGAUCCGCGCCGCAUUAGCUAGUUGGUAAGGUAACGGCUUACCAAGGCAACGAUGCGUAGCCGACCUGAGAGGGUGAUCGGCCACACUGGAACUGAGACACGGUCCAGACUCCUACGGGAGGCAGCAGUAGGGAAUCUUCCGCAAUGGGCGAAAGCCUGACGGAGCAACGCCGCGUGAGUGAUGAAGGUCUUCGGAUCGUAAAACUCUGUUAUUAGGGAAGAACAAAUGUGUAAGUAACUAUGCACGUCUUGACGGUACCUAAUCAGAAAGCCACGGCUAACUACGUG
Molecule: ribosomal RNA, 496 nt
Filed under: uncultured bacterium
Lineage: Bacteria
Description: partial 16S ribosomal RNA
Rfam family: Bacterial small subunit ribosomal RNA
Source: RNAcentral